AUGGGCGCCGCCGGCUCGUCCGCUCUGGGCCGCCUCGGCCUCCCCGCGCCGUCCCGGCCCGCCUGGCUCGGGGCGGCCGCGCUGGGACUGGCCGCCGUGGCGCUGGGGACGGUCGCCUGGCGCCGCGCGCGCUGCAGGCGGCGCCGGCGGCCGCGGCAGGUGGGCACCGUGGCGCAGCUCUGGAUCUACCCGGUCAAGUCGUGCAAGGGGGUGCCUGUGAGCGCGGCGGAGUGCACGGCCUUGGGGCUGCGCUGCGGCCACCUGCGGGACAGGUUUUGGCUGGUGAUCAACGAGAAGGGGAACAUGGUGACGGCCCGGCAGGAGCCUCGGCUGGUCCUGAUUUCCCUGACUUGCGAGGGUGAUGCCCUGACCCUCAGUGCAGCCUCCACGCAGGACUUGCAGUUGCCUCUCAAGACCCCGGCCACGAAUGCGGUGUACAAGUGCAGAGUGCAUGGCCUGGAGAUCGAGGGCAGGGACUGUGGGGAGGCUGCGGCCCAGUGGAUUACGGGCUUCUUGAAGACGCAGCCCUACCGCCUGGUGCACUUCGAACCUCACCUGCAACCGAGAAAUUCUCACCAAAUAUUGGACGCGUUCCGGCCCACCGACCAGAUUGCGUACUCCGAUGCCAGCCCAUUCUUGAUCCUGUCUGAGGCAUCGUUGGCAGAUCUCAACUCCAGGCUGGAGAAGAAAGUUAAAGUGACUAACUUCAGGCCCAAUAUCGAUUCGUGGGAUGAGCUGCUUAUUGGUGACGUGAUAAUGAAAAGAAUAAUGGCUUGUUCCAGGUGCAUUUUAACGACGGUGGACCCGGACACCGGCGUCAUGAGCAGGAAGGAGCCGCUGGAGACCCUGAAGAGCUAUCGUCUGUGUGACCCUUCUGAGCAGAAGCUGUAUGGAAAAUCACCUCUCUUCGGGCAGUAUUUUGUUCUGGAAAGCACAGGGACCAUCGAAGUGGGAGACCCUGUGUACCUGUUGGGCUAGGAGUAGGAAUCGUGUUCUGGAAUGUCAGAUACCCUUGAAAAAAUGUCCUCAAAAAUUGUCAACACUGGAAGCGAAGCUCUGAACUGACGCCUCAGCAUUUUUUUUUAGGUCUGUGACUUCCAAGCAUUUUGUCUUUUGGACUUCCUGGUGCCUCAGUGCCCCCCCUUCCUUGUACACACAGUGCCUUUGUGUAAAGCAAAGAAACGUAGUCAUGAGAACUUAAGAGGACUUCAGUAAGUCGCUUAAAUGACGAGAAAAUUCUGAAAACCCCUUUUGUAACGGUGACUGUGGGAUCUGUGCUCCUCCUUUUCCAUUUACCUAUUCAGAGGGCUAAGCUCCAUCAUCUCAUUCCCGCUCCGUAGGGAAAGAGAAGAGAAGAGCAAGAGGAAGAGUGGGCAGGUGAGGGGAAUGUUCUGGAAAAAUGCGAUGGACACAGACUAGCUCCCCAGAUAAGGCUGGAGGGUCACAUCGCUUUUCUCCUCAAGCCCUAGACUAGCUUUUGAGAAGGCAGAAAGAGCCUGACCUUUGGGAAACAAUCGAGAUGUUAAUUUUCCAGGGGUCAUCUUGGACCUUGCUCCUCAGACAAUGUCUGCGCAGGUUUGAUGGAUCCUUCGUAGCAUCUGGUAUCUCUGGGCUGGAGAGCAACAGGCAUGUCAGGGUAGGAAGUCAGCUCAGAGCAGCAUUGCUGUCAGACUCUGAUAUGGAACAUGUGAAAAGCAAGACAAAAACUUCCCUGCCUUGCAACAAAAUAUCAAUACAUCUUAUUAGUAAUCCCAAAGCUUUCCCAACAUAGGAGAGUGGACAGUAGCACUAGAGGGGGAAAGACCCCUAGUUUGAUGUUGUCUGAGAGGCUGUUUAAUGUUGCCAGGGAAAUGAUGGGGUCCCUAUUAGCGGAAGAGCCAAAAGAAGGGGCCAGAAGAGGAUGCCACCUAGUGGUGGUGAGUGGUAGCUCAGCCCAUGCUGUGGAAAACGUUGAAAAAAUACCAGUGGAUGGGUUUUAAUUUUCCAUCUCUGAACUUUUUUUUUUUUUUUUAAAGGAAGUGGGGGUACCCUCCAGGUGCUCUCUCCUUCUCAGCUGUAAAUAUUUUAUUUCUUAAAAGCUCUCAGGAGGAUGGCUGUGUUGUCACAAAGCCCUCCGGGAUCCUUGCUUGUCCCAUCAACUCAUGACUGGCACGCCACCUUAGUUCAUGACCAGCUACGCGUCCUCAAAUUCAAGGAGAUGACCAAAUCAUGAAAAAAUGUUCCCAAACUGUAAGUAAAUGGAAGCUACUUUCACUAGUUUUGGAUAUUACUAACUUCUUGGCACAGAAAUCAGACUCUGAAGCUGACUGAUGUGAAUGGGCAAAGCCAAUAAUUCUGCCACCUGACCAGACCCGGGUCUCUUACAAACGGACCUGCUCACAUGCGGCUUCCCCAGGCGAACACCCAUCUUUGACGGGCUGUCAAGGGAACAUGCUUUUUACCAAAAGCUGUGCAUUUUCCACGUCGGUUUUAUAAAAGAGGUUUUGUUGGCCCAUGAAAUUCUGGACCUUUGCCUGGAGGGAUGCUCGUAUGAAAGAAUUCCAUGGACCAAUAACUCUGGGAAAUCCUGCAUGCCUCCCUUUAGGAUUUCUUCAAAGGCCUAGCAACUCACUGGAGUCGUGGGACCUGCAUCAAAGAAUUCUGUCUCCUCCAAACUCCUAACUGACCCCCUCCUGAGAAACCCGUUCUGACCUCCAGCUCUCCCAAGGGAGCACCAGCCAGGACAAGGAAUCACGACGAGCGGGAGACAUGGCCUCAUGAGAAGGCUGAGGAAGUUAGAAGAGCCCCCAGUCACAUGAAGGAGGCCUCUUGGUGGGAUGCUUCCUCUUGUCUUCUCCCUUGUCCCUGGACGGAGACAUAAAAGGUUAAAGGAGGAAUGGAGAGGACACCUUAGACCAGCUCUCCUAAUACGGGCCUUGCAGAGAUGCGUUCCUUUUCUUUGGACUCAUUUUCCAAAUCUGCAUUCAUGAAUGGAGGGGGUGGGUCAGGGUUGAGGGGGUGAACACAGAGUCUAGUCUUGGCCUUACAACAAUACCACGCAAGUUCUCCAAGAUGCUUGAUGCACCAGGGAGGGGCGCUGUCUUCCCAAGUGCUAGCUGUACCUUUCCCUCGCAUCUUGUUACCUAGAGCUGCGUCCCACUGUAUCAAGAAGAACUAGCCCAGCGAUCCUAUUGCCCCUGGCCAGACUUACAUUCUCACUUUAUCCCAUGAUCUUCUAUCUACAAGAACACUCUUUGCUUCUACCACUUUCUUAGAAGUGGGCAAGUGACUUAUGAUAGGGUCUGAAGUUGCCCAGUGUCAAGCAAGGGGAAGAAUCUGGUUGAAGGAUUUAACAAAGGCUCUUGGAAUUGGGAUAAUAGAAGGGCACCGGAGGUACCCUUUGCUUUGAAUGCACUGUCUUUGGAGGGAGAGGCCCCUGCAACGGCUUUGACUAUGAUCCUGUAUUCCCUCAAAACACAGCUGAUAGGGGACUGUGGGGCCAUUUGGUCCCGUCCUCUUCGGCCUAGCUCAGGAAGAGGAGUUGCCCUAAUCCUAUUAUUAGUCUUCCUGGACAGGCUGUAGUAACAAAAGGGGCUGAGAAGUAUCUUCUCAUCUAACUUCUCCCAAGGCUGAUUUUGGUGGGUACAUCAAGCUCAGUCAAGUUUGGCUGUUGACCAACCUAAUCUACCUACUCUUGGUGGUCCUCCCAUCACAGAACAUUCCAGAUGGCUCUUCCUCCUACCUCCCUCCUGAAGCCCACAGCCUCUGAUUCCUUCCCUUCACUUCCUGCUCUAUGCCCUCUACCAACCCUAGUAGUCCAGACUCCAGUCCUGGGGCAGCCCUGUAGGAUGUAAGUCAAGGCUAACUUCUCUCUCUCUCUUUGGAAUUUGCUGGGAGCACUGAAAAUAAAGUAUU
Molecule: RNA transcript, 3894 nt
Organism: Neogale vison (American mink)
Lineage: Eukaryota; Metazoa; Chordata; Mammalia; Carnivora; Mustelidae
Gene: MTARC1
Gene name: mitochondrial amidoxime reducing component 1
Exons: 9
Source: RefSeq, a predicted model, not a curated record